GAUGAACGCUGGCGGCGUGCCUAAUACAUGCCAGUCGAGCGAACAGACGAGGAGCUUGCUCCUCUGACGUUAGCGGCGGACGGGUGAGUAACACGUGGAUAACCUACCUAUAAGACAGGGAUAACUUCGGGAAACCGGAGCUAAUACCGGAUAAUAUCUUGAACCGCAUGGUUCAAUAGUGAAAGACGGUUUUGCUGUCACUUAUAGAUGGAUCCGCGCCGCAUUAGCUAGUUGGUAAGGUAACGGCUUACCAAGGCAACGAUGCGUAGCCGACCUGAGAGGGUGAUCGGCCACACUGGAACUGAGACACGGUCCAGACUCCUACGGGAGGCAGCAGUAGGGAAUCUUCCGCAAUGGGCGAAAGCCUGACGGAGCAACGCCGCGUGAGUGAUGAAGGUCUUCGGAUCGUAAAACUCUGUUAUUAGGGAAGAACAAAUGUGUAAGUAACUAUGCACGUCUUGACGGUACCUAAUCAGAAAGCCACGGCUAACUACGUG
Molecule: ribosomal RNA, 497 nt
Filed under: uncultured bacterium
Lineage: Bacteria
Description: partial 16S ribosomal RNA
Rfam family: Bacterial small subunit ribosomal RNA
Source: RNAcentral